Molecule: unclassified non-coding RNA, 658 nt
Filed under: Hevea brasiliensis (rubber tree)
Lineage: Eukaryota; Viridiplantae; Streptophyta; Magnoliopsida; Malpighiales; Euphorbiaceae
Source: RNAcentral
GGAGAGUAUACACAUUGAUAUUCUCAGUUUCAGGAUUUCUCCCAUUAAGGGUUAUAUUACUCGGUUUUUCUGUUUCGCGGAAACCAGAGCAGUUUUUAUUCGAAGCUCUCACUUUCUCAGCUUUUCUUGUACUUUUGUGUUGUGCUGGGCUGUGUAUAUGCAUGCUUGUGUACCUUCCAGUGGCGGAUUCUUUGGCUUUGGGCAAUUUACAGGAUUUGGAGGCGAGGAGAAGGUCGAGCGAUGAUCACAAUGACACUAUCUCUCUCAUUGCCAACCAACCUCAGCUUGAUGAUAGCAGCUCCCCACAAAUGAGCCCGGCCCGAAACUCCAAUGCCUCCUCAACCAAGAGGGGUUCGAUCUCUUUUAGAACAUUUCAAAAAGAUGGAGCUUCUGCUGGAAUGGGGACAGCAACUUUUGUGGAGCUCAGCCUUUUUUCUCCCAGCCGAGAGGCAUCCCCGCCGGGAUCACCUCCGUUGCUUGGUUGGCCCAUGCGCUCUGCUUGAGAAUGCACCUUAUGGCUGCGGUUGGGGUGGUGGAAAGCUUGUGAAGAGAAACUGAGUAUUUGUCAAUUUUGCAAUGAAGAAAAAAACACUGAUUGUAAAAAGGAAACAAAAGGGUUUAGCUUCUUCAAUAAGGAUUUUUAAUUUUUGGCUUGUGU